GGGUAGCUUAACCUUCGGGGGGGCGCUCACCACUUUGUGGUUCAUGACUGGGGUGAAGUCGUAACAAGGUAGCCCUAGGGGAACCUGGGGCUGGAUCACCUCCUUA
RNAcentral lists this ribosomal RNA (106 nucleotides) under Shewanella baltica. RNAcentral describes it as "partial 16S ribosomal RNA". It matches the Rfam family "Bacterial small subunit ribosomal RNA", at positions 1428 to 1533 of the family's 1533-position model. Lineage: Bacteria; Pseudomonadati; Pseudomonadota; Gammaproteobacteria; Alteromonadales; Shewanellaceae. RNAcentral also lists the same sequence under 2 other names. The record is from RNAcentral.